UUAGCCGAAGUGAAAGCGAGCCUUAACAGGGCGUCGAGUUGGUGGCGCUAGACGCGAAACCUUGUGAUCUACCCACGAGCAGGUUGAAGUCGCGGUAACACGUGAUGGAGGACCGAACCGGUAAACGUUGAAAAGUUUUCGGAUGACUCGCGGGUAGGGGUGAAAGGCCAAUCAAACUGGGAAAUAGCUCGUACUCUCCGAAAUGCAUUUCGGUGCAGCCUGUGAUGUUCUGUUCCAGAGGUAGAGCUACUGGUUGGACGCGAGGGCUUCACCGCCUAUCAAAUCCGGAUAAACUCCGAAUGCUGGAACACGAAAUCAUGGAGUGAGCCCGCGGGUGCUAAGGUCCGCGGACGAGAGGGAAAGAACCCGGACCACCGGCUAAGGUCCCGGAUGGACAGUUAAGUUGAUCAAACGAGGUGGGAUCGCUGAGACAGCUAGGAUGUUGGCUUGGAAGCAGCCAUUCAUUUAAAGAGUGCGUAACAGCUCACUAGUCGAGCGAUCCCGCGUGGAUAAUACACGGGCAUGAAACUGUCAACCGAAGCCGUGGGGUUAGUUAAUGACUAACCGGUAGGAGAGCAUUCCUGCCAGCUUUGAAGGUCACCCGCGAGAGUGACUGGAGCGGCAUGAAAAGCAAAUGUAGGCAUAAGUAACGAUAAUGGGGGCGAGAACCCCCCACGCCGCAAGACCAAGGAUUCCCCGGCAAUGUCAAUCAGCCGGGGGUCAGCCGGCCUCUAAGGCUCACCCGAAAGGGGAUGCCGACGAGAAACGGGUUAACAUUCCCGUGCUUCUCGUCACCGUGACGCGGUGACGGGGUGAUGAAUGGACCGCGCGCUGACGGAAUAGCGCGUUGAAGGCCGUACCCUGUGACGGUGGUAGUCAAGCACGCCACCCGAGGCGAAAGUCGAUAGUACCUCGAGGCCUCGGCCGAGGGGAUAGCGUCCAGGCAAUUUACCCCCUAGAAAACCCGCUAAACUUCAAGUGACGAGGUAACCGUACCGCAAACGGACACACGUGGUCGGGUAGAACAUACUAAGGCGCUCGAGUGAUUCAUGGUCAAGGAACUAGGCAAAAUAGUCCUGUAACUUAGGGAAAAAGGACGCUCUAGUGAUAGAGCCGCAGAGUAAUGGCCCAGGCGACUGUUUACCAAAAACACAUGGCUAUGCCAAAUCGAAAGAUGACGUAUAUGGCCUGACACCUGCCCGGUGCCGGAAGGUUAAGAGGAGAGCUCAUCAGUAAUGAGAAGGUUUGAAUUGAAGCCCCGGUAAACGGCGGCCGUAACUAUAACGGUCCUAAGGUAGCGAAAUUCCUUGUCGGGUAAGUUCCGACCUGCACGAAUGGUGUAACGAUCUGGGCACUGUCUCGACCAUGAGCUCGGUGAAAUUGUAGUUCCGGUGAAGAUGCCGGGUACCCGCGACGGGACGGAAAGACCCCGUGAACCUUUACUGCAGCUUCGCGUUGUUCCCGGGCACGGGACGUGUAGGAUAGGUCGGAGGCAUUGAAGCGGAUUCGCCAGGAUUCGUGGAGCCAUCGUUGAAAUACGACCCUUCUCUUGUCUGGGAUCUAACCCAUGGUAAUGGGGACACCGCUUGGUGGGUAGUUUGACUGGGGUGGUCGCCUCCAAAAGCGUAACGGAGGCUUCCAAAGGUACCCUCGGGUUGGUUGGUAAUCAACCUAAGAGUGCAAUGGCACAAGGGUGCUUGACCGGGAGACCAACGAGUCGAUCGGGUGCGAAAGCAGGGCAUAGUGAUCCGGUGAUCCCGCGUGGAAGGGUCAUCGCUCAAAGGAUAAAAGGUACUCCGGGGAUAACAGGCUGA
Molecule: ribosomal RNA, 1814 nt
Filed under: human gut metagenome
Description: bacterial LSU rRNA
Rfam family: Bacterial large subunit ribosomal RNA
Source: RNAcentral